GCUUGGAGGCGGCUUGAGAACCAGAGGGAG
This 30-nucleotide small RNA is filed under the name Arabidopsis thaliana (thale cress). RNAcentral's name for it is "ATSL147810". Lineage: Eukaryota; Viridiplantae; Streptophyta; Magnoliopsida; Brassicales; Brassicaceae. The record is from RNAcentral.